UAAGGAAUAUUGGUCAAUGGACGCAAGUCUGAACCAGCCAUGCCGCGUGGAGGAUGAAGGUCCUCUGGAUUGUAAACUUCUUUUAUCUGGGACGAAACACUUCUUUUCUAAGAGGCCUGACGGUACCAGAUGAAUAAGCACCGGCUAACUCCGUGCCAGCAGCCGCGGUAAUACGGAGGGUGCAAGCGUUAUCCGGGUUCACUGGGUUUAAAGGGUGCGUAGGCGGACUAAUAAGUCAGUGGUGAAAGCCUGCAGCUUAACUGCAGAAUUGCCAUUGAUACUGUUAGUCUUGAGUACAGUUGAGGUAGGCGGAAUGUGUCAUGUAGCGGUGAAAUGCUUAGAUAUGACACAGAACACCGAUUGCGAAGGCAGCUUGCUAAGCUGUAACUGACGCUGAGGCACGAAAGCGUGGGGAGCAAACA
This 422-nucleotide ribosomal RNA is filed under the name uncultured bacterium. RNAcentral's name for it is "bacterial SSU rRNA". It matches the Rfam family "Bacterial small subunit ribosomal RNA", at positions 355 to 774 of the family's 1533-position model. The record is from RNAcentral.